GGGGACUACGAGCAUAAGCUUAAAACCCAAAGGACUUGGCGGUGCUGUAGACCCCCCUAGAGGAGCCUGUUCUAGAACCGAUAACCCCCGUUCAACCUCACCUUUUCUUGUUCAUCCCGUCUAUAUACCGCCGUCGUCAGCAUACCCUGUGAAGGAAAUAAAGUAAGCAAAACUGGUAAAACCCAAAACGCCAGGUCGAGGUGUAGCAUACGAAAAGGAAAGAAAUGGGCUACAUUUCCUAUUUUAGGAAACACGAAUUGUGUCUUGAAAAAUCACAUGAAGGAGGAUUUAGCAGUAAGCAGAAAACAGAGUGUUCUACUGAACCCGGCCCUGAAGCACGCACACACCGCCCGUCACCCUCCCCAAAUCAAAAUCAAUCUGUAUUUAAAUUAUUACUGAACAAAAGGGGAGGUAAGUCGUAACAUGGUAAGUGUACCGGAAGGUGCACUUGGAAUAAA
This 458-nucleotide ribosomal RNA is filed under the name Poecilia picta (swamp guppy). RNAcentral's name for it is "Micropoecilia picta (swamp guppy) partial 12S ribosomal RNA". It matches the Rfam family "Bacterial small subunit ribosomal RNA", at positions 875 to 1533 of the family's 1533-position model. The record is from RNAcentral. Lineage: Eukaryota; Metazoa; Chordata; Actinopteri; Cyprinodontiformes; Poeciliidae.